CCUACGGGAGGCAGCAGUAGGGAAUAUUGCUCAAUGGGGGAAACCCUGAAGCGGCACCGCCGCUGGGAGGAUGAAGGUUUUAGAAUUGUAAACUCCUUUUGUUGGAGAAGAUUAUGACGGUAUCUAACGAAUAAGCACCGGCUAACUCCGUGCCAGCAGCCGCGGUAAUACGGAGGGUGCAAGCGUUACUCGGAAUCACUGGGCGUAAAGAGUGCGUAGGCGGGGUAAUAAGUCAGAUGUGAAAUCCUGUAGCUUAACUACAGAACUGCAUUUGAAACUGUUACUCUUGAGUGUGGGAGAGGUAGGUGGAACUCUAGGUGUAGGGGUAAAAUCCGUAGAGAUAAAGAGGAAUAC
RNAcentral lists this ribosomal RNA (354 nucleotides) under uncultured bacterium. RNAcentral's name for it is "partial 16S ribosomal RNA". It matches the Rfam family "Bacterial small subunit ribosomal RNA", at positions 338 to 709 of the family's 1533-position model. The record is from RNAcentral.